UUUCCCCUUUUAUGAAAUACAAAUAUUUGCACAUCCACAAGAUAAAGAGAAAGAACAAGAAAAUAGAGGAAUGAGACACUCUGUCUUUAGGCCCAUAAUAAAUGUUCCGUUCGCCCCCAUGCCGGAGCCCCAACCUCUACCUUACAGAGCUGCAGUGAUCACAUGUCCUGGCAUGCCGUUCUCCCUCUCCAACAGUGUCUUCAUAUAUUAUCUAAACAGCUGGUUUCAUGUGUAUAUUACCCUACACAGCCUCAUCUUUUAUGACGUUGGAUAUAAGUUAUAAAUAAAAGAUCGUGAAUUUAGCCUGUUUUGACUGAGCUCGUUGGACUUUAAAUGGGAAUCAUUGAGACCUACAAAUGUACAUUUCCAUUGUUUUGACGCCAAGGUAUAAUGCCUGGAGUUCAUAAAUAAAAUUAUAUAAAUGAUUCUGUCUUGCAUAAACUGCCAGGGAGACAAUAGGCGAUGUGUCCCUCGGCCCCCUUUGGUGAGCAGGCUGGAGGAAUCACCAGGUUGGUGCAUCCGAGCGAGGCAAAGAGGCAGACCCAGCCAACUACACUGCAAGCAGUUCCAACUGCACAGCCAGGGACAGGCUCCAUGGAAAAGGCUGUUGUUCAACUGUUGGCCUUUUCAGCCCCAUUGUGCGGACAGCAGUUUUUCUCUAGGGUACCAAAGUGUCCCUCUUCAAUUUACAAUAGUGUUUGUAUUUCUUAGCUUCACAAACUGUGAUAUGAGCAAACUAAAUUAUGCUAUUUAACUUGCUUUGUAGGGGAAGAAAGGGACUAGAGUCAAAGCAAAUGGCCACACCGUAGUAGUAAUAGGAUUUAAACCCAUUUCUGCAGACUCCCACUCUAGAGUUCCCUUUACUCUACUGAGCCUCCUAUUUCAAGUUGAAGACAUGAUUAGUUUGUUGGAUUUCAUUAACUAUAAAUUGAACAUGGGUGCUAGAGAUAUGAUGAUAGACAAGAUAGAAGAAUUCUCUGCUUUCCACAAAGUUUAUAGGUCCAUAGGGAAGGCAGACAUUAAAUUAUAUGAUGAAUGCUAUGAUAAGAGAUAUUUAUGAUUCAGCACUGGAUGCUGGAGGCACCUAGUGAUAUCUAAUCUACUCUAGUGGAUCCAGAAAGGCUUCCUGGAACAAGAGCCAUUCAAGAGGACACUGGCAGAUGCACAGAUAUUACCCAAGCAAGGGGAUAGAGUGGAAAGGAGAAUGUGCAGAAUGCCUGAGAUGAGUUACAGUGAUAGGAAGAAAUCCGGAUGGCUGGAGUGAGUAUUCCAGGGUAGGCAGUAGCUAAACCCAGGGUUUUCGAGGCAAUCCUAAAGACAGUGGGCAGGGGAGAAAAACAGACUAUCAGGUGACUAUGUGUGGAGAGCUACAGAGAGCACCAGGAUUAGCUUAACACACCAGAAUAUACAGAGUUCAGUUUAGAGUCCCUUGCCUCAUCCUAUCUGAUACUGUUAAGAAUGCACAUAUAUCUGUUUUCCUAAAAGUAGACUGGGGAAAGAGAAGCCAGUGCUCUCUUACUGGAUGCUAUUCUUCGAUUUAUUUAAUGUAUGUUUACUGAAUAUCUGGUAUAUUCAAGGGCAUGUACCACAUUGUGCUAAGCACUGUUGAACAUUCAACGUACAAGUUAAUAUUUAUUGAGUGCUUGCCUGUUACACACUUAGAGUUGUGGUGAUUAUAAAUGAAGUUGUGGGCCUCGUUUACAGUAAUCUCGCUGAAAGUAGGACACAACAAAAUAAGCAACUAGGCCUGUCUACAAACAGGUAUUAUGCACACUGCUUAAUGUUUUAAUAAACAACCAAGUUGAUCUCAGGGUUAUAUCCAACAAUAAGAGAAUUUUUGGUUUUUAAUGUUAUUUUUUAAAGACUUAGAACUAAUUUCGGUUUUAUAGUACAGGUACCAAAUUAAUUUUUGCUCAAAAAUAUAAGUGCAUAUUAUGUGCUAGGCGUUGUACCAGUGAUACAAAUUGAGGACAUUGUUCCUUGCCUCUGAGAAGCUUGCAAACAAGUGGGAACUAUAACAAUAAAUAUAUUACGGUGGGAUGUGCUAUAAAAAUGUUAGAAGAUGUUAAAGUAAUGUGGGCAACUUUGUAAACCUGUUUAAUUUAUUCCAUUCCAUCAUACUGCAAAAAUGAGAAUAAUGCAUUUCCUGCUUUUUUUUUUUUUUUUUUUUUUUUUUUUUUUGAGACAGAGUUCCGCUCUUGUUGCCCAGGCUGGAGUGCUAUGGUGCGAUGUUGGCUCACUGCAACCUCUGCCUCCUGGGUUCAAGCGAUUCUCCUGCCUCAGCCUCCUGAGUCGCUGGGAUUACAGGCGCCCACCACCAUGCCCAGCUAAUUUUUGUUAUUUUUAGUAGAGACGGGGUUUCGCCAUGUUGGCUAGCCUGGACUCGAACUCCUGACCUCAGGUGAUCCACCUGCCUUGGCCUCCCAAAGUGCUGGGAUUACAGGUGUGAGCCACUGCACCCAGCCCAUUUCCUGCAUUUUUAUUGACACAAUUUUAAAUAAAAUGCUUGAAAUCCAACACAUUUCUGUUUUCUUCUGAAAUGUUCUAAAUAGAACAUUUAUUUGUCUAAUAAAGUUAUAAAAUUGC
This 2586-nucleotide long non-coding RNA is filed under the name Homo sapiens (human). RNAcentral's name for it is "non-protein coding lnc-HMGB2-9:1". The record is from RNAcentral. Lineage: Eukaryota; Metazoa; Chordata; Mammalia; Primates; Hominidae.